Molecule: ribosomal RNA, 492 nt
Filed under: uncultured bacterium
Lineage: Bacteria
Description: partial 16S ribosomal RNA
Rfam family: Bacterial small subunit ribosomal RNA
Source: RNAcentral
AGUGAACGCUGGCGGUAGGCCUAACACAAGCAAGUCGAACGGCAGCACAGUAAGAGCUUGCUCUUACGGGUGGCGAGUGGCGGACGGGUGAGGAAUACAUCGGAAUCUACUUUUUCGGGGGGGAUAACGUAGGGAAACUUACGCUAAUACCGCAUAUGACCUACGGGUGAAAGCAGGGGAUCUUCGGACCUUGCGCGAUUGAAUGAGCCGAUGUCGGAUUAGCUAGUUGGCGGGGUAAAGGCCCACCAAGGCGACGAUGCGUAGCUGGUCUGAGAGGAUGAUCAGCCACACUGGAACUGAGACACGGUCCAGACUCCUACGGGAGGCAGCAGUGGGGAAUAUUGGACAAUGGGCGCAAGCCUGAUCCAGCCAUACCGCGUGGGUGAAGAAGGCCUUCGGGUUGUAAAGCCCUUUUGUUGGGAAAGAAAAGCAGCAGGUUAAUACCCCGCUGUUCUGACGGUACCCAAAGAAUAAGCACCGGCUAACUUCGUG